AUAUAUAUAUAUAUAUAUAUAUAUAUAUAUAUAUAUAUAUAUCCAAGUUGAUGAAAUUAACUCAAACUAUAUGCUUCAAAUCUUUGUGGGUUCACAUAUAUAGAUCUCUUCAAUAAGCUAGCUGUUCAUGAAUGAUUUUGAGAGCUUCUUGAUUGAAAUUAAGCAAGUUGUUUAGUGCAAAGGGUUGCAGGCUGAAGCUGGGAUAGUCUGCAGGAAAGGAAAGGAUUGUAGCGAAGCGAUUGGAAGGCGAUGGGAGGCGUGCUGGUGAUCUCGGUGCCGUUACUUCUCCUGAUCGCGAUCCUGGCCCUUGCUUGCUACCUUUUCGGUAGGUCCCGGGGCCGGUCCUAGUGGAGGGCCCCGCAGUAUUUGGGCUGCCGGCCCAAAUACAGCCCAUCCUCCACCUGCUCCGGCCCAAGAGAAGGGCCCAACUACCCACAACAUGCGUUGCCGAGAAUGCUACAUUGUGUAUUUGCUCGGACCUUCUGUGGUGUGCUUUUAUUUAUAGGGAGUGACGUUUGUGGGUUUGGUAGCUUUUUGGCUUCUUUGUCGAGCAUGGAUUAUAAGUAAUAAUAUUAUAUUUGUUUUAUUGCUAUUCAGUUGAUUAAUUCGAUAAACACGAUGCUUCCUCUUGGCUGGUUCUGGUUAAUUAGCUUCCUAAA
Molecule: long non-coding RNA, 659 nt
Filed under: Phoenix dactylifera (date palm)
Lineage: Eukaryota; Viridiplantae; Streptophyta; Magnoliopsida; Arecales; Arecaceae
Description: long non-coding RNA (PDAC_LNC019081)
Source: RNAcentral